UACGUAGGUCCCGAGCGUUGUCCGGAUUUAUUGGGCGUAAAGCGAGCGCAGGUGGUUUAUUAAGUCUAGUGUAAAAGGCAGUGGCUCAACCAUUGUAUGCAUUGGAAACUGGUAGACUUGAGUGCAAGAGAGGAGAGUGGAAUUCCAUGUGUAGCGGUGAAAUGCGUAGAUAUAUGGAGGAACACCGGUGGCGAAAGCGGCUCUCUGGCCUGUAACUGACACUGAGGCUCGAAAGCGUGGGGAGCAAACAGG
This 252-nucleotide ribosomal RNA is filed under the name uncultured bacterium. RNAcentral's name for it is "partial 16S ribosomal RNA". It matches the Rfam family "Bacterial small subunit ribosomal RNA", at positions 524 to 776 of the family's 1533-position model. The record is from RNAcentral.